AAAUUCCUAAAAAAUUCCUAAUUAAUUCCAGAAAGUCUGAAAAAGUCUCAGUAGAAAUUAUUAAAAUUUCUAAAGGCUAGAAUUCUACAGUGAUUCCCAGAGGUUGGGAAGUCUAAAAACUCUGGAAAAUUCCUCAAAAUUCUUAAAUUUAUUAACUUUGGCCUUCCAAUAGAAUUCUCGAAUGGCUGAAACAAAAAUGAGUUGAGUUAUUUGGUUGUCCAAGGGUUUGGGGUUCAAAUUUGAUGGUAUUCUGAUCUUGAGUUGUGGUGCUGCAAUUGUGGAUGUUAUUUGGUUCAAAUGGUCUAUUUCCUUGAGUAUUUCUGGGUAAAUACGUUGCUCAAACAACUACUUCUGCUACUGCUCAAUCGCUGACUCCCUUUUCUUUUGUUGUUCUUCAAAUUCCAGGUAUUCAUCUAGCCUCAAAUGACUUAUGCAAUUUAAGCCCAAAAUAAGAUUGAACUGGAAGAAUGUACAAAAGUGCAGGCAACUUUUUAUGUUCAAUAUUUUACCUUAGCUAGACCAUUUCACCUUUGUAUUCAUUUAAACAUCAUAUUAUGUAUAAUAAUAGGACUGUAUUGGACUGUUGAACUGUGGAUUUGUGUCGAUUCAUCUAAAGACAGUAUCCUUAGUGUAGUAUUUUUUUUUUGGCAAUCCACUAGGCAAAGCCUAGGGUUAGAAUUUUAAUAAUAACAUAAAAUUUAAAAUUACAACAUAAUAACUUAAAUGAAUGAGAUAAGCCAUAAUCAUCACAGAGUUCAUAACAUACUCUAUGGUAAUAUUACAAGAUGAGGAUAUUAAGUAAGUAAAAUAAAUUAUGAGGGAGCGAUUAAAGUGUUGUCCUUUCCCCAACUUUGGGAUGUAUUUAAUAAGAUUCAUGUUUUGCUCUUUGUUUUACUGGACUUUGUGAAAGUAGAUUGGUUGACCUGUUUUAGUUUUGCAAUUCUCAAUGGGAGCUUUCUUUUGUUUGCGUCUUCAGCCAUUCUGCCGUCCCAGCUUCUCUCCCUUUGAUGAUUUUUUUUAUUUGUUUUACUGUGCUUUGGUGAUAAAUCCCCCAUUCUUGCAGCAUUUUUCCGGCAUUGCGUUAAGAUAUCCUCUUCCUCUCCUUCUUCAAGUAUGUGACAUCCUUCCAAAUCUUUCUGGACAUAACUUUGAACGGAGGAUAUUAUCAACGCUGACGAUGUUUGCUGGUGUUGUCCCGCUUGUGAAAUUGCAACUACUUUGUUAUCCGUAGCAAUGCAUUCCUUUGGUGGCUGACUAGAGGUACCUGCUAUUGUACACUUUUUUGGAAAGAAAACAGGAGCAUUAUGGUUCAACUUACUUGUUGUAGAUGAAAGUUUUACAUUCCCAUUCCUAUUUGCCGGUUUCUCUUGAACUGUUGGCUUGAUCAUAGCCUCACUGUCUUCUCCCGAGCUAUUGUAAUCAUCUAUCUGGCCUUCUUCAGCAGAUGACCAGCCCUCAGAAUCUUCGUCCCAACUCUCAUCGUCAUCAACAUGUCGUUGGUCCCAGAGUUUCGAUUUAAUAACCAUAUCUCUCAUGUUUGCUAGAACUAGUUGUUUGUUAUUUUCAUUGAGGCUUGAGAAUUCCCCACUAUCAUUGAUGCCUUGCUCGGCGUAUAUACUGGAUAUAGAGAUGGGAGUAUAGCUUUGAACCUUCCGUAUCACCCCUCCAGCCAUUUUUUCAUCAUCUUUAACGAUAUUUGCGAGCACGGCACAUGAAUUGGAGCUUGUUGUUAUUGCUUUACUCAUCUCUUCCUUCUGUUUAUUGUUAUUUUGGAGACUUUCAUUUCUGUUAGAUCUGGAUGAUUGAUUGUUCCUUGCAUUAUAUUGUCCAAUUUUCUUUAGCAGCUGCGAGUCAUCUAAAGGAUGUUGAUAUUGAACCAUUUCUGCCAUGUGAUUUAUGCCCUG
This 1904-nucleotide long non-coding RNA is filed under the name Nicotiana benthamiana. RNAcentral describes it as "long non-coding RNA (NBEN_LNC033388)". The record is from RNAcentral. Lineage: Eukaryota; Viridiplantae; Streptophyta; Magnoliopsida; Solanales; Solanaceae.